Long non-coding RNA from Bufo bufo (common toad), 148 nucleotides. RefSeq lists it as uncharacterized. NCBI's taxonomy places the organism in Eukaryota, Metazoa, Chordata, Amphibia, Anura, Bufonidae. The transcript has 3 exons. The record is from RefSeq and is a predicted model, not a curated record.
UAAAAUUGAAAAACAAGGGGACUUGGGUAAUAAUCUUGAUGCAUCGUGAUGCAUCGCCGAAUCGAAUCGAAUCGUGGACUUGAUAAUCGUAAUCGCAUCGAAUCGUGAGACGAGUGAAGAUGCGCAGCCCUACUGAACAGUCUAUAUU